CGAACGCUGGCGGCGUGGAUUAGGCAUGCAAGUCGAACGGGAAAGGUUCCUUCGGGGACCGAGUAUAGUGGCAAACGGGUGAGUAACGCGUGGGAAACCUGCCCUUUGGUUGGGGAUAACACUCCUAACGGGGUGCUAAUACCGAAUAUCACCAUUACAUCGCAUGAUGUUUUGAUGAAAGGCGGCCUCUGCUUGCAAGCUGUCGCCGAAGGAUGGUCCCGCGUCCCAUUAGCUUGUUGGUGAGGUAACGGCUCACCAAGGCAGUGAUGGGUAGCCGGCCUUAGCGGGUGAUCGGCCACACUGGGAUUGAGAUACGGCCCAGACUCCUACGGGAGGCAGCAGUCGAGAAGCUUCCACAAUGGGGGAAACCCUGAUGGAGCGACGUCGCGUGGGUGAUGAAGGUUUUCGGAUCGUAAAACCCUUUCGGCAGGGACGAUAGUGUUAGGUGUUAAUAUCACCUGGCAUCAGACGGUACCUGCAUAAGAAGCUCCGGCUAACUCCGUG
RNAcentral lists this ribosomal RNA (504 nucleotides) under uncultured bacterium. RNAcentral's name for it is "bacterial SSU rRNA". It matches the Rfam family "Bacterial small subunit ribosomal RNA", at positions 30 to 507 of the family's 1533-position model. The record is from RNAcentral.